GGCCUUUUGGUUGUAAAGCACUUUAAGCGAGGAGGAGGCUACCGAGAUUAAUACUCUUGGAUAGUGGACGUUACUCGCAGAAUAAGCACCGGCUAACUCUGUGCCAGCAGCCGCGGUAAUACAGAGGGUGCAAGCGUUAAUCGGAUUUUCUGGGCGUAAAGCGCGCGUAGGUGGCCAAUUAAGUCAAAUGUGAAAUCCCGAGCUUAACUUGGGAAUUGCAUUCGAUACUGGUUGGCUAGAGUAUGGGAGAGGAUGGUAGAAUUCCAGGUGUAGCGGUGAAAUGCGUAGAGAUCUGGAGGAAUACCGAUGGCGAAGGCAGCCAUCUGGCCUAAUACUGACACUGAGGUGCGAAAGCAUGGGGAGCAAACAGGAUUAGAUACCCUGGUAGUCCAUGCCGUAAACGAUGUCUACUAGCCGUUGGGGCCUUUGAGGCUUUAGUGGCGCAGCUAACGCGAUAAGUAUUCCGCCUGGGUAGUACGAUCGCAAGGUUAAAACUCAAAGAAAUUGACGGGGACCCGCACAAGCGGUGGAUGAUGUUGUUUAAUUCGAUGCAACGCGAAGAACCUUACCUGGGCUUGACAUCCUGCGCUACCCUAGGAAACUAGGGGUUCUCUUCGGAGACGCAGUGACAGGUGCUGCAUGGCUGUCGUCAGCUCGUGUCGUGAGAUGUUGGGUUAAGUCCCGCAACGAGCGCAACCUCUGUCGUUAGUUGCCAGCAUU
RNAcentral lists this ribosomal RNA (720 nucleotides) under uncultured bacterium. RNAcentral's name for it is "bacterial SSU rRNA". It matches the Rfam family "Bacterial small subunit ribosomal RNA", at positions 413 to 1125 of the family's 1533-position model. The record is from RNAcentral.